AUUGAACGCUGGCGGCAGGCCUAACACAUGCAAGUCGAACGAGUGGCGGACGGGUGAGAAAUGUCUGGGAAACUGCCUGAUGGAGGGGGAUAACUACUGGAAACGGUAGCUAAUACCGCAUACUAUCAGAUGUGCCCAGAGGGGAUUAGCUAGUUGUUGGGGUGACGGCUCACCGAGGCGACGAUCUCUAGCUGGUCUGAGAGGAUGAUCAGCCACACUGGGACGUAGACACGGUCCAGACUCCUACGGGAGGCAGCAGUGGGGAAUAGUGCACAAUGGGCGAAAGCCUGAUGCAGCCAUGCCGCGUGUAUGAAGAAGGCCUUAGGGUUGUAAAGUACUUUCAGCGGGGAGGCGUUACCGGCAGAAGAAGCACCGGCUAACUCCGUGCCAGCAGCCGCGGUAAUAC
Molecule: ribosomal RNA, 406 nt
Filed under: uncultured bacterium
Lineage: Bacteria
Description: partial 16S ribosomal RNA
Rfam family: Bacterial small subunit ribosomal RNA
Source: RNAcentral